UCGAAGGAGACGGUAUCCACGGAUGAUC
RNAcentral lists this small RNA (28 nucleotides) under Bombyx mori (domestic silkworm). RNAcentral's name for it is "ovarian small RNA-28204". The record is from RNAcentral. Lineage: Eukaryota; Metazoa; Arthropoda; Insecta; Lepidoptera; Bombycidae.